AUUGAACGCUGGCGGCAUGCCUUACACAUGCAAGUCGAACGGCAGCACGGGUGCUUGCACCUGGUGGCGAGUGGCGAACGGGUGAGUAAUACAUCGGAACAUGUCCUGUAGUGGGGGAUAGCCCGGCGAAAGCCGGAUUAAUACCGCAUACGAUCUACGGAUGUAAGCGGGGGACCUUCGGGCCUCGCGCUAUCGGGUUGGCCGAUGGCUGAUUAGCUAGUUGGUGGGGUAAAGGCCUACCAAGGCGACGAUCAGUAGCUGGUCUGAGAGGACGACCAGCCACACUGGGACUGAGACACGGCCCAGACUCCUACGGGAGGCAGCAGUGGGGAAUUUUGGACAAUGGGCGAAAGCCUGAUCCAGCAAUGCCGCGUGUGUGAAGAAGGCCUUCGGGUUGUAAAGCACUUUUGUCCGGAAAGAAAUCCUUGGCCCUAAUACGGUCGGGGGAUGACGGUACCGGAAGAAUAAGCACCGGCUAACUACGUG
RNAcentral lists this ribosomal RNA (486 nucleotides) under uncultured bacterium. RNAcentral's name for it is "partial 16S ribosomal RNA". It matches the Rfam family "Bacterial small subunit ribosomal RNA", at positions 30 to 507 of the family's 1533-position model. The record is from RNAcentral.